AACGCGUAUGCAACCUACCUUCAACUGGGAGAUAGCCCCUCGAAAGAGGGAUUAAUAUCCCAUAGUAAUAAGAAGAGGCAUCUCUUUUUGUUUAAAGCUCCGGCGGUUGAAGAUGGGCAUGCGUGACAUUAGCUAGUUGGUGAGGUAAAGGCUCACCAAGGCUACGAUGUCUAGGGGUUCUGAGAGGAUGAUCCCCCACACUGGUACUGA
This 210-nucleotide ribosomal RNA is filed under the name uncultured Bacteroidota bacterium. RNAcentral's name for it is "uncultured Bacteroidetes bacterium partial 16S ribosomal RNA". It matches the Rfam family "Bacterial small subunit ribosomal RNA", at positions 112 to 322 of the family's 1533-position model. Lineage: Bacteria; Pseudomonadati; Bacteroidota. The record is from RNAcentral.